Molecule: ribosomal RNA, 254 nt
Filed under: uncultured bacterium
Lineage: Bacteria
Description: partial 16S ribosomal RNA
Rfam family: Bacterial small subunit ribosomal RNA
Source: RNAcentral
UACGGAGGGUGCGAGCGUUGUCCGGAUUGACUGGGCGUAAAGAGCUCGUAGGCGGCUUGGCAAGUCGGGUGUGAAACCUCCAGGCUCAACCUGGAGACGCCACUCGAUACUGCCAUGGCUAGAGUCCGGUAGGGGACCACGGAAUUCCUGGUGUAGCGGUGAAAUGCGCAGAUAUCAGGAGGAACACCGGUGGCGAAGGCGGUGGUCUGGGCCGGCACUGACGCUGAGGAGCGAAAGCGUGGGUAGCAAACAGG